GAUCAUGGCUCAGGAUGAACGCUGGCGGCGUGCUUGACACAUGCAAGUCGAACGAAGCACUUUACUUGAUUUCCUUCGGGGAUGAUUGUUUUGUGACUGAGUGGCGGACGGGUGAGUAACGCGUGGAUAACCUGCCUCACACAGGGGGAUAACAGUUGGAAACGACUGCUAAUACCGCAUAAGCGCACAGCACCGCAUGGUGCAGUGUGAAAAACUCCGGU
This 221-nucleotide ribosomal RNA is filed under the name uncultured bacterium. Its description in RNAcentral is "partial 16S ribosomal RNA". It matches the Rfam family "Bacterial small subunit ribosomal RNA", at positions 15 to 216 of the family's 1533-position model. The record is from RNAcentral.